UUUAGAUAUAAAGUAUAUAAGCUUAAGUAGUAUUAGUUAUAGUCUUGAAACUUAAAGAAUUUGGCGGUAUUUUAGUCUUUUUAGAGGAAUCUGUUUUAUAAUCGAUAAUCCGCGUUGGACCUUACUUAAUUUAUUAAAUAUGUAWAUCGCCGUUAAUAUAAUCUUAUUAGAGUUAUUAAAUUUUUUUAAUAUUUAUUAAAUAGUGUUUCAGGUCAAGGUGCAGUUUAUAAUUAAGUUAAAAUGGAUUACAUUUUUUGUAAAAAGAAUGAAUUAUUAAUUGUAAUUAUUAAUAUGAAGGUGGAUUUAAUAGUAAUUUUAUGUAGAUUGKUAUUAUGAUUAUAGCUCUAAAAUAUGU
This 355-nucleotide ribosomal RNA is filed under the name Ectobiidae sp. 5 FL-2016. RNAcentral's name for it is "12S ribosomal RNA". Lineage: Eukaryota; Metazoa; Arthropoda; Insecta; Blattodea; Ectobiidae. The record is from RNAcentral.